CUCUGCAACUUACGUAAAAGUGUCUCCAAUCCUUCCCUCUCAUCCUUCUCCUUUUUCAUCAAAUAGGCAUCCAAAAAAUCAUCAGGCUCAUCAUGUAAAAUG
Molecule: small nucleolar RNA, 102 nt
Filed under: Caenorhabditis briggsae
Lineage: Eukaryota; Metazoa; Nematoda; Chromadorea; Rhabditida; Rhabditidae
Description: sRNA CBG29746
Source: RNAcentral